AAUACAUGCAAGUCGAGCGGAACUUAGAAAGCUUGCUUUCUAAGUUUAGCGGCGGACGGGUGAGUAACACGUGGGCAACCUGCCUAUAAGACUGGGAUAACUUCGGGAAACCGGAGCUAAUACUGGAUAAUAUAAAAGAUCACAUGGUCUUUUAUUGAAAGAUGGCUUCGGCUAUCACUUAUAGAUGGGCCCGCGGCGCAUUAGCUAGUUGGUAGGGUAAUGGCCUGCCAAGGUUAUGAUGGGUAGCCGGCUUGAGAGGGUGUACGGCCACACUGGGACUGAGACACGGCCCAGACUCCAACGGGAGGCAGCAGUAGGGAAUCUUCCGCAAUGGACGAAAGUCUGACGGGGCAACGCCGCGUGAGCGAUGAAGGCCCUCGGGUCGUAAAGCUCUGUUGUUAGGGAAGAACAAGUAUCGUUCGAAUAGGGCGGUACCUUGACGGUACCUAACCAGAAAGCCACGGCUAACUACGUG
RNAcentral lists this ribosomal RNA (475 nucleotides) under uncultured bacterium. RNAcentral describes it as "bacterial SSU rRNA". It matches the Rfam family "Bacterial small subunit ribosomal RNA", at positions 50 to 507 of the family's 1533-position model. The record is from RNAcentral.